GCCCGGCUAGCUCAGUCGGUAGAGCUUGUGACUCUUGAUCUCAUGGCAGUGAGUUCAAGCCCCACUUUGGGUG
This 73-nucleotide transfer RNA is filed under the name Felis catus (domestic cat). It matches the Rfam family "tRNA". Rfam says of the family: Transfer RNA (tRNA) molecules are approximately 80 nucleotides in length. Their secondary structure includes four short double-helical elements and three loops (D, anti-codon, and T loops). Further hydrogen bonds mediate the characteristic L-shaped molecular structure. tRNAs have two regions of fundamental functional importance: the anti-codon, which is responsible for specific mRNA codon recognition, and the 3' end, to which the tRNAs corresponding amino acid is attached (by aminoacyl-tRNA synthetases). tRNAs cope with the degeneracy of the genetic code in two manners: having more than one tRNA (with a specific anti-codon) for a particular amino acid; and 'wobble' base-pairing, i.e. permitting non-standard base-pairing at the 3rd anti-codon position. The record is from Rfam by way of RNAcentral. RNAcentral also lists the same sequence under 1 other name. Lineage: Eukaryota; Metazoa; Chordata; Mammalia; Carnivora; Felidae.